RNAcentral lists this ribosomal RNA (418 nucleotides) under uncultured prokaryote. Its description in RNAcentral is "bacterial SSU rRNA". It matches the Rfam family "Archaeal small subunit ribosomal RNA", at positions 455 to 873 of the family's 1478-position model. The record is from RNAcentral.
GUGUCAGCAGCCGCGGUAAUACCAGCACCCCGAGUGGUCGGGAUGAUUAUUGGGCCUAAAGCAUCCGUAGCCGGUGUAACAAGUCCUCCGUUAAAUCCACCUGCUUAACAGGUGGGCUGCGGAGGAUACUGUUACACUAGGAGGCGGGAGAGGCGAGGGGUAUUCCACGGGUAGGGGUAAAAUCCUCUGAUCCGUGGAGGACCACCAGUGGCGAAGGCGCCUCGCCAGAACGCGCUCGACGGGGAGGGAUGAAAGCUGGGGGAGCAAACCGGAUUAGAUACCCGGGUAGUCCCAGCCGUAAACGAUGUAGGCUCGGUGAUGGACUGGCUCCGAGCCAGUCCAGUGCCGCAGGGAAGCCGUUAAGCCUACCGCCUGGGGAGUACGGCCGCAAGGCUGAAACUCAAAGGAAUUGACGGGG